CAGCCGCCGCGGUAAUACGUAGGGUGCAAGCGUUAAUCGGAAUUACUGGGCGUAAAGCGUGCGCAGGCGGUUUGUUAAGACAGAUGUGAAAUCCCCGGGCUCAACCUGGGAACUGCAUUUGUGACUGGCAAGCUAGAGUAUGGCAGAGGGGGGUGGAAUUCCGCGUGUAGCAGUGAAAUGCGUAGAUAUGCGGAGGAACACCGAUGGCGAAGGCAGCCCCCUGGGCUAAUACUGACGCUCAUGCACGAAAGCGUGGGGAGCAAACAGGAUUAGAUACCCCAGUAGUCCCUGUCUCUUAUAC
RNAcentral lists this ribosomal RNA (301 nucleotides) under uncultured bacterium. RNAcentral describes it as "partial 16S ribosomal RNA". It matches the Rfam family "Bacterial small subunit ribosomal RNA", at positions 509 to 807 of the family's 1533-position model. The record is from RNAcentral.